RNAcentral lists this ribosomal RNA (279 nucleotides) under uncultured Staphylococcus sp. RNAcentral describes it as "partial 16S ribosomal RNA". It matches the Rfam family "Bacterial small subunit ribosomal RNA", at positions 83 to 354 of the family's 1533-position model. Lineage: Bacteria; Bacillati; Bacillota; Bacilli; Caryophanales; Staphylococcaceae. The record is from RNAcentral.
CCUUUGACGUUAGCGGCGGACGGGUGAGUAACACGUGGGUAACCUACCUAUAAGACUGGGAUAACUUCGGGAAACCGGAGCUAAUACCGGAUAAUAUUUCGAACCGCAUGGUUCGAUGGUGAAAGGUGGUUUUGCUAUCACUUAUAGAUGGACCCGCGCCGUAUUAGCUAGUUGGUAAGGUAACGGCUUACCAAGGCGACGAUACGUAGCCGACCUGAGAGGGUGAUCGGCCACACUGGAACUGAGACACGGUCCAGACUCCUACGGGAGGCAGCAGGG